Molecule: ribosomal RNA, 348 nt
Filed under: Draco walkeri
Lineage: Eukaryota; Metazoa; Chordata; Lepidosauria; Squamata; Agamidae
Description: partial small subunit ribosomal RNA
Rfam family: Bacterial small subunit ribosomal RNA
Source: RNAcentral
AAACUGGGAUUAGAUACCCCACUAUGCCUGACUGUAAAUUACAAGCCAAAAAAGUACGAGCCACGCUUUAAACUUAAAGGACCUGGCGGUACUCUACAUCGACCUAGAGGGGUCUGUCCUAUAAUCGACAAUCCGCGAAAAACCCAACCAUCUCUUGCCAUCCAGCCUAUAUACCGCCGUCUCCAGCACAUUUUCCAAGAAAUGAAGCAAAACAGUCCCACACACUAGCACGUCAGGUCAAGGUGUAGCCCAUGAGAUGGAAGAGGCGGACCACAAUGCCGCAACACACAGAAACCACAUUGAAACAUGUGGCGGAAGAAGAAUUUAGCAGUAAGAGGGGCCGAAUGC